Mauremys mutica (yellowpond turtle) is the source of this 592-nucleotide long non-coding RNA. RefSeq lists it as uncharacterized. Lineage: Eukaryota; Metazoa; Chordata; Testudines; Geoemydidae. The transcript has 3 exons. The record is from RefSeq and is a predicted model, not a curated record.
GGCUCCUGUGCCUGUAUGGGCUUCAGUUCAGGGAAUGUAUUUGUCAAAAUGGAUUUAAAAGAAGAGUACUGGUUGGGAGGUGGAUAUACAUCAUGAUUUUUAACUUAAUUAGAGCGCUGCAUGGACAAAGGCAGACCACCCACAUGGAGCUUGAUGCAGGAUUGUAGCCCUAGCAAGCAGCAUUUUUAAGCUGAUUUGUUAGUCAAGCAGAAAGAGGAGCUCCUCCUUCCAGCAGCCAGUUCAAAAUCAGAUCCACGUUGUGUAUGCAUAACAUGUUCCAUGGAGAAGGGUGUGAAAAUCAAAAAGGCCAGAAUCUUUGUAGAAGUGUAGCGAAUUCAAGCAACUGAUGACGACAAAGAAUUAAAGCUCUGGCCUGUAGUCAACGGGGAAAAAGCAAAGCCACUCAUCUGAUAAUCUCUUCCUGGGCAUGGAAGACUGGUUUGAAUAAUUGCUAUUAUUGGAGGAAUUCCCUGGGUAAUGAUCUGCUUUACAUGGAGCUCUGACUAGAUAGAAUACCUGCCAAAAACUGAGUUUGGUUGAUCGCCUGCCACAAAGACGGGUGAUGAACACAACAUAUUUAUCUUACUUGGAU